RNAcentral lists this unclassified non-coding RNA (1769 nucleotides) under uncultured fungus. RNAcentral describes it as "sequence contains 18S rRNA gene, ITS1, 5.8S rRNA gene, ITS2, 28S rRNA gene". The stretch from base 662 to 1769 matches the Rfam family "Eukaryotic large subunit ribosomal RNA", at positions 1 to 961 of the family's 3401-position model. Lineage: Eukaryota; Fungi. The record is from RNAcentral.
GGAUGGAUCAUUAACAUACGUAUAAUCCAAUACCAAAUCUCCAUUUGUGAACUAUAUCCCCGUUAUUAUUCAGAAUGUAAGCAAUUACAUUUUGAGGUGAAAGCUGUAAAAAGCUCGAUCCAUUUACCCCCUUAUUUAUUUAAACCAAUUAACCAAAUGACUUACUAAUAUUUACUCUCUGUUCAGAAAUGUCAGAGAAAACUUCUAUACAACUGUUAGCAACGGAUAUCUUGGUUCUCGCAACGAUGAAGAACGCAGCGAAAUGCGAUACGUAAUGCGAAUUGCAGAAUUCAGUGAAUCAUCGAAUCUUUGAACGCACAUUGCACUCUUGCCCUUGCGGUAAGAGUAUGCCUCUUUCAGUAUCGGUUCUAAAACAUCAAUUUCCUAUCUCUUUCGGGGGAUGUGUAAGAAAUUGGAAUCUUGCGUUUUAGUCUUCGGAUUAUCUCGUUAAAUUUAUGUAGGGGUCGUUUCUCUUCUUUAUCGGAGGGAACUUACUUACUCUUCCUUCACUGAUGUGAUAGUUCGCCUUGUGCGAUUCCAUUCAUCAUUAGUUUGUAGCGAUUGGUACAAGAGACUUUCUAUUUGUUUGUAGUUGUUAUACUACUUACACCUUUUUUUUUGUUGUUGUUCGCAAGAAUGAUAAGAGAAAAAAAACCAUAUCUGAUCUGAAAUGAGGUAAGAUUACCCGCUGAACUUAAGCAUAUUAAUAAGCGGAGGAAAAGAAACUAACAAGGAUUCCCCUAGUAACGGCGAGUGAAGCGGGAAGAGCUCAACUUGAAAAUCGGACACCAGUUCGAAUUGUAGUCUAGCGACGCACGCUCAGUGAGGACCCGGGUCUAACCAUGCUCUGGGAAGGGCUGACAUAGAGGGUGACAUCCCCGUAUAUGACCUAGGAUCACCUUACGUACGAGUUGCGUUCAACGAGUCGCGUUGUUUGGGAUUGCAGCGCUAAUUGGGUGGUAAAUUUCAUCUAAAGCUAAAUAUCUGCGAGAGACCGAUAGCGAACAAGUACCGUGAGGGAAAGAUGAAAAGAACUUUGAAAAGAGAGUUAAAUAGUGCUUGAAAUUGCUAACAGGGAAGCGAAGAAAACCAGUGAUGUGUGUAGGUCCAAGGCUUGGCUGCUGAUUUGGUUAUCAGAUGGUUGGCAACUCCAUUUGGUGGUUCGAUGAAAGUAGUUGAGUUGGUACGCCUGCAUACGACUCAGCAUCAUUUUGGCUGGUGGGAGAAAGCUGUGCUUGGAGAUGGGUCAUUCCUGACAAGUUAGCCCUACCACCGGCUGGAUUGAGGAUCCUUUCAUGGAUACAAUUCGGUUGGACGUAAACUGUGGCCCGGGUGGAUCUCUGAGGAUAAGAGUAUUACUGUUACCGAGGAGUUGAAGCUUGAUGUCUUGUUGUCGAUCUGCGAAUUCGAGACUGUUGAGAAAAUGGUUUCCUUCGACCCGUCUUGAAACACGGACCAAGGAGUCUAACAUACAUGCGAGUUUUGGAGUGGCAAAUUCCGAGGCGCAAUGAAAGUAAAGGCAAGCGUGUGCGUUUGCUGAGGUGUGAACUCUGUAAAAAGGGGUGCAACAUCGACCGGUCAGUCAUUUAUGAAAGAUCUGAGUAAGAGCAUAUAUGUUGGGACCCGAAAGAUGGUGAACUAUGCCUGAGCAGGGCGAAGCCAGGGGAAACCCUGGUGGAGGCUCGUAGCGAUACUGACGUGCAAAUCGUUCGUCUGACUUGGGUAUAGGGGCGAAAGACUAAUCGAACUAUCUAGUAGCUGGUUCCCUC